RNAcentral lists this ribosomal RNA (1248 nucleotides) under Flavonifractor sp. An100. RNAcentral describes it as "Bacterial large subunit ribosomal RNA". It matches the Rfam family "Bacterial large subunit ribosomal RNA", at positions 261 to 1527 of the family's 2925-position model. Lineage: Bacteria; Bacillati; Bacillota; Clostridia; Eubacteriales; Oscillospiraceae. The record is from Rfam by way of RNAcentral.
GGAAGAGGGCAAACCGGAGGAUUUAUUCUCCGGGGUUGUGGACUGACACAACGGAGCAAUAGGUUAGGCGAACGGUAUGGGAAGGCCGGCCACAGCGGGUGAGAGCCCCGUAGCCGAAAACUGAUUUGCUUUAGUCAGGAUCCAGAGUACCGCAGGACACGUGAAACCCUGUGGGAAACUGGGGGGACCACCCUCCAACCCUAAAUACUACUUGAUGACCGAUAGAGGAGCAGUACCGUGAGGGAAAGGUGAAAAGGACCCCGGGAGGGGAGUGAAAGAGAACCUGAAACCUUGUGCUUACAAGCACUCAAAGCUCGUUAACGAGUGAUGAGGUACUUUUUGUAGAACGGUCCGGCGAGUUAUUGUAUGUAGCAAGCUUAAGGUAUUCAGUACCGGAGGCGAAGCGAGAGCGAGUCUGAAUAGGGCGAAUUAAGUUGCAUGCAAUAGACCCGAAACCAGGUGACCUAUCCAUGGGCAGGUUGAAGUGGAGGUAAAACUCCAUGGAGGACCGAACCGACCCCCGUUGCAAUGGUGGCGGAUGACCUGUGGAUAGCGGAGAAAUUCUAAUCGAACUUGGAGAUAGCUGGUUCUCCCCGAAAUAGCUUUAGGGCUAGCGUUAGUUUAGAUUACCGGAGGUAAAGCACUGAAUGGGCUAGGGGCCGAUAAGGUUACUGAACCCUAUCAAACUCAGAAUGCCGGCUAAUUGAUGACUAGCAGUCAGACUACGUGAGAUAAGUCUCGUGGUCAAAAGGGAAACAGCCCAGACCUACAGCUAAGGUCCCAAAUGUACGCUAAGUGGAAAACGAUGUGGAAUUGCGAAAACAACCAGGAUGUUGGCUUAGAAGCAGCCACUCAUUAAAAGAGUGCGUAAUAGCUCACUGGUCGAGUGACUCUGCGCGGAAAAUGUAACGGGGCUAAGCGUACAACCGAAGCUUAGGAUGCAGCAAUGCGUGGUAGGGGAGCGUCGAAUGCGGGGUGAAGUCGCAGCGGAAGCAGCGGUGGACUGUAUUCGAGUGAGAAUGCCGGAAUGAGUAGCGAGAAUUAUGUGGGAAUCAUAAUGGCCGAAAAUCUAAGGUUUCUUGGGGAAGGUUCGUCCGCCCAAGGUAAGCCGGGAGCUAAGGCGAGGCCGAGAGGCGUAGUCGAUGCACAUACGGUUGAAAUUCCGUAGCCACCGAAACUUAAGCUAGAAGGACACUUGGAGCUAUCCAGACCCGGGCGUUGGUUGACCCGGGCGAAAGGGACCGAAAU